GGAUGUGAGGGCGAUCUGGCUGCGACAUCUGUCACCCCGUUGAUCGCCAGGGUUGAUGCAGCUGAUCUGGGUGCUUAGGCAGGUGUCCUCUUCCUCUCUCAUUGCUCCAUGUGCAUCCCUCCCAAAGCUGCACCCUCAGUUGAAGAGGAUAACCAUGCCCAUAGAGGAGGACCAGUCUUCGGUCAAGGGUAUAUGAGUAGCUGCACUUCCGUGCUAGAACCUCCAAACAAGCUCUCAAGGUCCAUUAGAUUUAAUGAAAACCAUAAGCCAGACCAUAAAUAGUGUGGCAUUUU
RNAcentral lists this small nuclear RNA (293 nucleotides) under Callithrix jacchus (white-tufted-ear marmoset). RNAcentral's name for it is "7SK RNA". It matches the Rfam family "7SK RNA". Rfam says of the family: 7SK was discovered as an abundant small nuclear RNA in the mid-70s but a possible function has only recently been suggested. Lineage: Eukaryota; Metazoa; Chordata; Mammalia; Primates; Cebidae. The record is from Rfam by way of RNAcentral.